Molecule: long non-coding RNA, 2258 nt
Filed under: Homo sapiens (human)
Lineage: Eukaryota; Metazoa; Chordata; Mammalia; Primates; Hominidae
Description: HSALNT0070097
Source: RNAcentral
GUUUGACCUUCACAGCUCAUUAUGAUCAUUGAUCCUUAUAUGAUGAACCUGAUAAAUGAGCAACAGGAGAAGAAACUGAGGUUCAAGGACUAGUAACCAGCAGCAGAUCACACAGCUGGAAGACAACUAAGAGCAAAAAAACAGUCAGAAUAAAAGGCCAUGGAACCACAAACCUGUAGGUGAAUGCACAUCCAUUAGCAUUCCUGUAAGUACGUGUAUUUGGUGGCUUUGCUGGAGUAACAAACUACCUCAAGAUCUCAGUGUUAUAUGAAACAAAGGUUAUGCUGGAACUCAACCUCACCUGUAUACGGGUGAACCAUAAGAUGGUCCUUGCUACAUCACUAGCCUUCCCUUAUCUAGCAAGAAAAACCUGCUCUUGAUAGUCUGCUGAAUAGUGACUGAGAUGACUGGCAGUAAAAUAGGAGACUUUUCAAGUGGAUGAAAGUUAAAUUCAAUAGGUGAUGCUGUGAACCCUCCCCAAGGGAGGUACCAAAAGCCUGCAUGAAGCAAAAACUGGAAACAAAUAAAGGAGAGUAUGGUGACUUUGCACUAAGUUACUCAUUUAUUCACAUAAUUAAUGAGUUUCUAUUAGUGUUAGGCACCGUUCUAGAUGAUGGUAUAAUUAGUUAACAAAAACCUCAAAACUCUCGCCCCCCAUGGAGCUUACAUUUCCAGGGAGGGAGAGAGAUGAUACAACAAUAAGAAAAUACAGAGCUAAUGUCAUUCUAUAUUGUAUAAUUAUGUAAAAUCAAGCCUGAGUAUUUGACAGCUUCUCAGAUACCACAGAUCUGUUGUUUAAUGAAAUCAGCCUAAAAGAUAAAAUUGUGUAUUUGCAUGUACACAUCACCUUGCCUGUAUUAUGAGUCAGCGUUUCUUCUUAUAAGAAACCACAGCUUGGUAAAAGGUAGAAGCUCAAUUUCCUAAUAAAGAGAUAUGUUUUACUAGGCAGGCUGUUGCACUGCAUAUUACUCUCUCUGACCUUGGCUUUAGUCCAAGGAGGAUUAAACCCAGAAAGAGAAGGGAGUAAAGCAAGGUGUAGCAGAAAAGCAAAACAAAACAAUACAAAAUAACCUCAAAGAAAUUAGUAACAAUAAUUAGUGCAUUCAGAGAUUAUAUCUUUCUUUCUUUUUUUCCUUUUUUUUUUUCUUUCGAGACGGAGUUUUGCUCUUGUUGCCCAGGCUGGAGUGCAACGGCGCGAUCUCAGCUCACGGCAACCUCCGCCUCCCCGGUUCAAGUGACUCUCCUGCCUCAGCCUCCCGAGUAGCUGGGAUUACAGGUGUGUGCCACCACGCCAGGCUAAUUUUGUAUUUUUAGUAGAGACAGGGUUUCUCCAUGUUGGUUAGGCUAGGCUCAAACUCCUGACCUCAGUUGAUCCGCCCGCCUCAGCCUCCCAAAGUGCUGGGAUUACAGACGUUAGCCACCGUGCCCAGCUGAGAUUACAUCUUUUUGAAAGCUAAAUAUAUAUAUAUAUAACACUGAGUGAAGGAGUUAUGUUUUCAGGUAAGGGCUACUGUUCUUGACAAUCCAUCAUCCAUCCAUCCAUCCAUCCAUCUGUGUAUUCUGGAAGGAGUGAGGAACUCAUGCAAAGACAUAAACAAGUUUACUCUCCAUAGCAAAGAGUUGCCCUGAUACAUGAUUGCUUGCAAACUUAUAUUCAAGUCCUGUGGUGUUUAUUCUGUAGGCUUUGCCAAUAUAGCUGAAUCUUAGGAAAAGACAAACCAAAACAAAAUUGUAACAUAAGCCAUAUUUGUCUUCAGUCCAGCCUUUUUUUCUGUUACUGCACAUUUCCAUACCUUUGCAUUUUCUUUGUAACCCAUAGGCUUGAGUGUUCAGUUUCUUAAAGUGGCUAGAUGUCCCUGUCCACAAUAGACAAAGUCACACCAAAAUCCUAAAAAGAGAAAAUUUGCUUCCCAUCAAAGGCCUGACAUACUUUUGCCAUGAAUGAUAUAGAAAGAUUCUAUAAUAGAUUAAAGGAAGCUCUGGGAAAUUUGUUUUAAAUACAAUCAGUCUUACAUAGACAUAUAUCUUUAAAGUCGACUGCUUGACAUUUUUUCCUUAAGAUGAAAAUUAAAUAAUGGCCCCUGUAAAAAAUCAUCAAAGGUCUCCCUUCACUGAAAAAAUAAGCAAAAUAAUGAGACUGAAGCUCAACUUCUGUUUUGCCCACCUUGAAUCCCUUUGACACACUUCCAAGUCUACCUUACAGCAGUAGGAGCGAUUCCAUAAACUGGAGAUUUAUAACAUGACAAGUCAACCCAGAU